UACGGAGGGUGCAAGCGUUGUCCGGAAUCACUGGGCGUAAAGGGCGCGUAGGCGGCGUUUUAAGUCGGGGUGAAAGCCUGUGGCUCAACCACAGAAUGGCCUUCGAUACUGGGACGCUUGAGUAUGGUAGAGGUUGGUGGAACUGCGAGUGUAGAGGUGAAAUUCGUAGAUAUUCGCAAGAACACCAGUGGCGAAGGCGGCCAACUGGUCCGAAACUGACGCUGAGGCGCGAAAGCGUGGGAGCAACAGG
Molecule: ribosomal RNA, 250 nt
Filed under: uncultured bacterium
Lineage: Bacteria
Description: partial 16S ribosomal RNA
Rfam family: Bacterial small subunit ribosomal RNA
Source: RNAcentral